This 253-nucleotide ribosomal RNA is filed under the name uncultured bacterium. RNAcentral's name for it is "partial 16S ribosomal RNA". It matches the Rfam family "Bacterial small subunit ribosomal RNA", at positions 524 to 776 of the family's 1533-position model. The record is from RNAcentral.
UACGAAGGGGGCUAGCGUUGUUCGGAAUCACUGGGCGUAAAGGGCGCGUAGGCGGCUUUAUAAGUCGGGGGUGAAAGCCUGUGGCUCAACCACAGAAUUGCCUUCGAUACUGUAGAGCUUGAGACCGGAAGAGGUAAGUGGAACUGCGAGUGUAGAGGUGAAAUUCGUAGAUAUUCGCAAGAACACCAGUGGCGAAGGCGGCUCUCUGGACCGAGACUGACGCUGAGGCGCGAAAGCGUGGGGAGCAAACAGG